RNAcentral lists this ribosomal RNA (343 nucleotides) under uncultured bacterium. Its description in RNAcentral is "bacterial SSU rRNA". It matches the Rfam family "Bacterial small subunit ribosomal RNA", at positions 571 to 913 of the family's 1533-position model. The record is from RNAcentral.
GCAGGCGGCUCGAUAAAUUAGAAGUGAAAGCCCCGGGCUUAACCUGGGAAUUGCUUUUAAGACUGUCGAGCUAGAAUCCAGAAGAGGGUAGUGGAAUUCCGAGUGUAGAGGUGAAAUUCGUAGAUAUUCGGAAGAACACCAGUGGCGAAGGCGACUACCUGGUCUGGCAUUGACGCUCAUGUGCGAAAGCGUGGGGAGCAAACAGGAUUAGAUACCCUGGUAGUCCACGCCGUAAACGAUGAGUGCUAGUUGUUGGGGACCAUAGGUCUUCAGUGACGCAGCUAACGCAUUAAGCACUCCGCCUGGGGAGUACGGCCGCAAGGUUAAAACUCAAAGGAAUUGA